AUUGAACGCUGGCGGCAUGCCUUACACAUGCAAGUCGAACGGCAGCACGGGUGCUUGCACCUGGUGGCGAGUGGCGAACGGGUGAGUAAUACAUCGGAACAUGUCCUGUAGUGGGGGAUAGCCCGGCGAAAGCCGGAUUAAUACCGCAUACGAUCUACGGUUGAAAGCGGGGGACCUUCGGGCCUCGCGCUAUAGGGUUGGCCGAUGGCUGAUUAGCUAGUUGGUGGGGUAAAGGCCUACCAAGGCGACGAUCAGUAGCUGGUCUGAGAGGACGACCAGCCACACUGGGAUUGAGACACGGCCAAGACUCCUAAGGGAGGCAGCAGUGGGGAAUGUUGGACAAUGGGCGAAAGCCUGAUCCAGCAAUGCCGCGUGUGUGAAGAAGGCCUUCGGGUUGUAAAGCACUUUUGUCCGGAAAGAAAUCCUUGGCCCUAAUACGGUCGGGGGAUGACGGUACCGGAAGAAUAAGCACCGGCUAACUACGUG
This 486-nucleotide ribosomal RNA is filed under the name uncultured bacterium. RNAcentral describes it as "partial 16S ribosomal RNA". It matches the Rfam family "Bacterial small subunit ribosomal RNA", at positions 30 to 507 of the family's 1533-position model. The record is from RNAcentral.